This 309-nucleotide unclassified non-coding RNA is filed under the name plant metagenome. RNAcentral describes it as "partial contains 5.8S ribosomal RNA, internal transcribed spacer 2, and large subunit ribosomal RNA". The stretch from base 1 to 105 matches the Rfam family "5.8S ribosomal RNA", at positions 50 to 154 of the family's 154-position model. The record is from RNAcentral.
GAAAUGCGAUAAGUAGUGUGAAUUGCAGAAUUCAGUGAAUCAUCGAAUCUUUGAACGCACAUUGCGCCCCUUGGUAUUCCACGGGGCAUGCCUGUUCGAGCGUCAUUUGUACCCUCAAGCUCUGCUUGGUGUUGGGUGUUUGUCCCGUCUCCGCGCGUGGACUCGCCCCAAAGUGAUUGGCAGCCGGCGUACUGGUCCCGGAGCGCAGCACAUGUCGCGCAAACGAGUGCCUUGGUACGGCGGCGUCCAUAAGCCCCUCUCUCACGCUCUUGACCUCGGAUCAGGUAGGGAUACCCGCUGAACUUAAGC